UUUUCCGUAGGGUGAACCUGCGGAGGGAUCAUUACACAAUAUGAAAGCGGGUUGGGACCUCACCUCGGUGAGGGCUCCAGCUUGUCUGAAUUAUUCACCCAUGUCUUUUGCGCACUUCUUGUUUCCUGGGCGGGUUCGCCCGCCACCAGGACCAAACCAUAAACCUUUUUGUAAUUGCAAUCAGCGUCAGUAAACAAUGUAAUUAUUACAACUUUCAACAACGGAUCUCUUGGUUCUGGCAUCGAUGAAGAACGCAGCGAAAUGCGAUACGUAGUGUGAAUUGCAGAAUUCAGUGAAUCAUCGAAUCUUUGAACGCACAUUGCGCCCUUUGGUAUUCCAAAGGGCAUGCCUGUUCGAGCGUCAUUUGUACCCUCAAGCUUUGCUUGGUGUUGGGCGUCUUUGUCUCUCACGAGACUCGCCUUAAAAUGAUUGGCAGCCGACCUACUGGUUUCGGAGCGCAGCACAAUUCUUGCACUUUGAAUCAGCCUUGGUUGAGCAUCCAUCAAGACCACAUUUUAACUUUGACCUCGAUCAUGUGGAGCGAUCUACC
This 550-nucleotide small RNA is filed under the name Stemphylium solani. RNAcentral describes it as "eukaryotic LSU rRNA". The stretch from base 210 to 363 matches the Rfam family "5.8S ribosomal RNA". Lineage: Eukaryota; Fungi; Ascomycota; Dothideomycetes; Pleosporales; Pleosporaceae. The record is from RNAcentral.